This 253-nucleotide ribosomal RNA is filed under the name uncultured bacterium. Its description in RNAcentral is "partial 16S ribosomal RNA". It matches the Rfam family "Bacterial small subunit ribosomal RNA", at positions 524 to 776 of the family's 1533-position model. The record is from RNAcentral.
GACGUAGGGCGCGAGCGUUGUCCGGAUUUAUUGGGCGUAAAGAGCUCGUAGGCGGCUUGUUACGUCGACUGUGAAAUCCCCCGGCUCAACCGGGGAACGGGCGCCGAUACGACCGCCCUGGAGGGACGUAGGGGGACCUGGAACUUCCGGUGGAGCGGUGAAAUGCGUUGAGAUCGGAAGGAACGCCCGUGGCGAAAGCGAGGUCCUGGACGUUUUCUGACGCUGAGACGCGAAAGCCAGGGGAGCGAACGGG